Molecule: long non-coding RNA, 549 nt
Filed under: Gadus morhua (Atlantic cod)
Lineage: Eukaryota; Metazoa; Chordata; Actinopteri; Gadiformes; Gadidae
Description: lncRNA (ENSGMOG00000022374.1)
Source: RNAcentral
AUGAACGUCGGCCUUGCGUCUGGCGUCGUUUUCAUAAUGGUGUCUUGCUGCUUCUGUCUGAAGAGGUGCUGCUGUAAGAAAAGCUCCAAGAGCAGUGAAGAGGUCACCGAGGCCGCCGACGACCCUCCCCAACUCCAGGAGUACAGUGUCAUGCCCCCUCCACCGAGGUACCACAUGGAGCCCAUGCCGCCGUCCGUAAGCGGUGGUCCUGUGUAUUCAUACCGUCCGGUCGCCCCGGCGGCGAGCGCAGUGGAGGUUAGUGCGUUUCAAGCGGAUCCACGGACAGCCAACGCCUCCUGUAGCCCUACAAGUCAGACGGUGAUCUCGGUUCCCUCGCCCCCCGUGCCCUUCACUGCCCCUUCGGCCGAGGCGCCAGCUACAGGAAGCCAGGCUGGUACUCAGGAUAGCUCCUUCGGCAGCAACUUCCUGUCCUCCGAGACCGAUCCAUGCUUUGAGAUGAAGGGCAUGAAUCUGGCGCCGCCCCUCUACUCCGAAUGCGUCACUGCGAACGUCUACACGUCGGACAAACUCAACUUCGGCUUCCUCUAA